Molecule: long non-coding RNA, 4381 nt
Organism: Pelobates fuscus (common spadefoot toad)
Lineage: Eukaryota; Metazoa; Chordata; Amphibia; Anura; Pelobatidae
Exons: 2
Source: RefSeq, a predicted model, not a curated record
UUUGUUGGUUUUUUUCCCCUCUAGCUAUUUCCUCUUAAUUCAAUUAUUAUUGUGAUAUACAAAGUGUGUAUCCCUGUUUUGCUAGGGGUGAUAAGCUUCCCUUUGCAGCUCUUUUGUAGUUAAACCAUCAAUUAUUUGAUAUAUAAUGGUGUUACGGAAUUUUGAUGGGUAGGAUUAGUGUCCAACCGUACUGACCUGUGCUUCUUUUAAAAUCUCAUUAGGCUGUAUUGACGAGUGUAAGACAUUUUCCAUCUUGUGUAUCUUGAGUUUUAAGUACUAUUAAGGUAAUAACCCUUCAGUAGGGAUAGAAUGACCGUCUUUCUCACCACAUAAGCAGUGCAUGUUAUCUUUAACAGCAAGUUAGUACUUCACUGUAAACUGACUAAUUUAUACAGCUGUGAUCUUUAUAGUCCUUGUGAAUGGUUUAAAAAAAAAAUAAUAAUAAUAAUAAUUUCACAUAAUGAAUUCAAAUCUAAAAUCACUGGCUGCUGAGCUUGUCCUUUUUCUUCCCUGAGUGCUGCCAUUUCAUGUGAUCUUUAGGCUAAAGCACUAUUUAACUCUGAAGAUCACUCCUCUCUAGUCCUACUGCUCAAACUGUGUUGCAUGGUAUUUGGUGCUGUGAGACUGAUUCUUGCAGCUAGAGAAUCUCCAUCUAUUUAUGAAAACCACUGACCACGGCACCGACUUGAAAACCUAUUAGGACAAGGUAAACCGUGUGAUCCUCAUUAGGUAAGCAGUGUUUGAUAGAAAAAACACAUGAAAUUGUUCCUUUAAGGGAGAGAAGGGUAUUAGUUGGUACAUUUAGAUUUCAGUGACAGAUUUUCUCCAAGUUUAAAAAGUUGUAGUAUUCCCCACAACAGGAAAUGGAUUACCUAAUGGAUUAGGUAAAAUGUAAAGAGCAAUACUGGGACGACGUUCUGAAAGUGGACCACUCACAGUGGAAAUAAUGUUUUUACAUGUUAUUCCACACUUACCACUUCAUUCCUCAUUUUGUUCUCCUCCCAUACAUAAACUUUUGAGCCUAUAACUGACACGAGCUAGCCUUGAAAUACUUCUUAUGUUUUGUGUUUUGUCUUUCAUUUACAACUACUAGAAUUUACAUAAGAUUACUAGAUUACUAUCAGUUUGUGGUAUUUGAUAGAUGCUGAUUUAGGACCUAAACUCAGGAUAGGCACGGACCGAUAAUUUUGACAGUAUAGUAUAAAGCAAAAAAAUAUUAUUUGUAGCUUAAAUGCAAAUGCCAUGCAGAUCACUGUUAAAUUGCUUUUUACACAAUAGUCAUACUGUGAAUUGUAUGCUCAUGGAUCUCUGAUACACUUACACUGCACAUUAGAGGUUUAUUGCAGUGGUGCGCUGAUGCUCAUAUACAUUAAACAUUACUGUGAGGCUAAUUGCUGUGAUACACUUAUUCACAUUGCAAAUUAUGAGUUUUAUUGCAUAGGAGCUCUGUGAUAGUCAUACACAUUGCACAUUACUGUGAGUCUGAGGGCCUGCUGCUUACACUAAAAACACUGAGACAGCCCCCAUACAGCCUUACCUCUUUGCCUAUUCUUCCAAAGACCCACUUUUUCUCUCCCCUUAUUUUUAUUUAUUUCUUUGUAUUGUCUACAGCCCGAUCUCUCUAUAAAAUGUCUGUAUGUAAAUAUUCCAGCUGAGGCAUCUUGUGGAGUGCUUAAAAUUAUAACUGGAUUACUGAAGAGUCCAGCGCUGCUGACAGUUCUGAGUUGAAUCGGUCUCUGCUUAUUUGCUUGCACAGACCAGCUUCUGUGUGGUGUAACUUGUGGUCCUUACCGAAAGCAGAUGUGAUUAAAAAUGUCAUUUUCCUCUAAUGCUCAGUAAGAAUCUUCGCAUGUUGCACCAUGAAGACUCUGGUCUGUGCAGAUUUAGAGACCUGGUCAGUGUGUCACUGGAAGUAUGCGUAGUCACACACCGGUGAUUGCAGUUACCCAAUGGUCUGGGACUGCCUGCUAUAUUGUUUGCUCAGGGGGACCCACAACUGAUGUAUGAAAAAGACAUCUGAGGCUGGUGAUAAUGGUUUUCUAUUUAUUAGACACUUUCGAUACAGGUCUAAGGUUAUUUACUAAAAUGUGAAUUAAACGUGAGCUUUAAAUUUCAGGUCAAACUUGGAAAAUAAUCUGAACGGUAUGCAUCCAGUUCAGUUAAAUAUGAAUUCACUUUGAAUUCUCGGUUUAGUAAAUAACUCUGUAAGUCACACAUUGGCACUAGCUUAUAUUACCAGACAAAUGACUAGAUGAUACAUACAAUCACAGUGGUAAAUAUGGUGGUAUGAAGCUGUACAAAAUUACUUCAUUAAAAAUAUAUAUAUAUAUGUAACUCUUACAUACGCCUGGAUCCAUACUAGUGGACAACCUUCACCUGAAGUGUAAAAUGUUUGCAAGAGACCGCUACUUAUUGAAAUACGUGCAUUCGAUACCAGUGGAGUGCACAUGGAGGGACACCAUUCAGAUGCCAUCCGCUGAUCUGUUGAAGAUGCACUUUUAGGACUAGUGUACUGAACCCUAGUAAAAAGCUUUCUAUUAAGGAAGCACAUUUUCUGUAUCACAUGAGUUUUUUAAGAUGAGGGGGUCACAUUAAUUACAACGCAACUUUAGAGAUGUUCACAGUUUCAAAGUGACAUAGGAAUCAAAACAUGAUUGGACAGCAUCAGAAAAAAAGGUAAGUUGCACAGCAGAAAGCUUUGAAGAGCACACUUUCAGAUUCACAAAACACAUUCACUGAAUACCUAACACUUUUUUAGUUUUCCUUUUUUAAUAGUGAUGUUCAGUGUUUAAUCUGAAAUUAGAGCUUUAUUUGAAAAGCCGUAGCAUUGAUUCCUAUUUGGAAGGUGCACAAAGUGUGUAUCUUAAAUGUAAAAAACACACACUGGAAACCAGUUCAAUUAUGUAAAAAUAACCCAGUGCAGUUGGUCAACAAAGAGUGGACUUCAUGUAGACAUCUUAGGGCAAAGCUUUAGUGAAGUAUUGGUUGUCAAUUAUACAUGGAAUAGAAAGGAUUUUAAAACAUUUGAUAGGGUGUUCUGUUUUAAUGUCUUUUAUAAUUCUGUAUGACUUUGGGAGAAGGCUACUAAUUAAAGUUAUUCACUUUAUAUAGAAUGACGUCUUGUGCGAUGUGAACAUAUACGUUAUGUCUCUUUUAUCAAGCAUCAGACAUUCAGACCUGAUAUAUAUGAAAUCAUGCACGCUCAGCCUAUGCUUAGAAUUGAAGUGAAUGCUGGCUUAGAUAUUGUGUUAGGACAAAUAUAAGGUGUUGGGAUUUAUGGUGCAGGUACACAAAUACCCUUGCUCCCACUUUUCUUUUGUGAGAUUUAGAGUUUUUUUUCCCCUUAACUGGGAACCCGCCCUUCCUAGGGAUUUUUAUUUUUUAUACUUUAUAUUUAUCGUCUGUAUUUAACUAUGUAUGUUCUGUCUGAAAAGUACAAUUAAAUAUAGAAAUCCACACAGCUGUGUCUAGCUCUAUCCUGGAACUGAGCACCUUGGUUCCUUGUCAGUAAUUGAUAUACGACACUCUAGCAUGUGUCAGUCGGCCUAGAGAGAGAAUUUUCCUCUUCCAAAUCAGUAUGUGCAUGGAGUGAACUGGGUUGUGUUGUCAGUUGGUACAUUUUUAAUAUUCAUGUAAAAGAAAAUUAAGCAUUACAUGAAAUAUUUAACACAAGCUAGAGGUCAAUUUCAGUGCCUUAAUCAUCAAUGGUUUAAUUUCAGAUGAAAUGCUGGUUGCCGUUAGUGGUCUGUAUUUUGUACCUAAACCUAUAUUUGGCAAUAUCUUUAAAUUCGAAUAAUUACAUUCUGUGCAUAUAAAAAGGAUGAAAGGGAUACACAUUUUAAUAGGUAAUUAAGCAACUUUAACUUAUGGUUAAAGUGUGAAACCCAUAUAAAUGAUGGCUAAAAUGUUAUCACACAGCAAAUCAUAUGACAUUUUCCUACAAAUCACUUAAACACUCCUUAAAAAGCCAGAUAAUGUAGUAGACAAUUAACUAUGAAGCACAACUUUCUGGCACAUAUUGAUAUUUUUCUUUGACUUUAGAAGACAGCAUUUUGUAGACUGAAACAUAAAUAUGCAAAUAAAGAUAAAGUGACACCACACUUAUACAUGUGCAAGUUCAACUCUGAUUCUAGAAAUCGAUCAUUUAGAAAUCCAAUUCUGGAGCAAAUGCUAUUGCUUGAGAUGUGGUCUGCUGCGUCUGUUUGGACUUUACAUCGAUAACAGUGGUGCUUUAAAGGUUUUGAAUCUUUCUUUUUUGUUUAGAAGAAAAUUAAAACUCAAAACCUUAAUUUGCAUAGUGUACACUUUGUUCUUUAAAGUUUACAUGGUAGGAUGUCCUUUAUUCACAAUGUACUGCCUUAUUUUAAAUAAAGUUUGUUUU